Molecule: long non-coding RNA, 238 nt
Filed under: Vigna radiata
Lineage: Eukaryota; Viridiplantae; Streptophyta; Magnoliopsida; Fabales; Fabaceae
Description: long non-coding RNA (VRAD_LNC009495)
Source: RNAcentral
GGCGGUCGGGUCAGACGUCCCGUCGUACAUCUUGAACUAAGGGGGUACGAACUGCUCAGAUAUGUGUACUUCCAUAAUUUCCCGUACGAACGGCACCAUGGUGGUCGACUCUUCCACCUUUACCAACGACCGGCUAUCCUUGUUCCCCCUCUCCUCUCUUCCCUCCGUCCGAGCACUACUAUUCUCCCCUUCUAACGGUAUCUGCUUCUCUCCUGCCCCCUCCCCCUGCUCACCACCG